CCUACGGGAGGCAGCAGUGGGGAAUUUUGGACAAUGGGCGCAAGCCUGAUCCAGCAAUGCCGCGUGAGUGAAGAAGGCCUUCGGGUUGUAAAGCUCUUUUGUCAGGGAAGAAACGGUGGGGGCUAAUAUCUCCCACUAAUGACGGUACCUGAAGAAUAAGCACCGGCUAACUACGUGCCAGCAGCCGCGGUAAUACGUAGGGUGCAAGCGUUAAUCGGAAUUACUGGGCGUAAAGCGUGCGCAGGCGGUUUUGUAAGUUUGUCGUGAAAUCCCCGGGCUCAACCUGGGAAUGGCGAUGAAGACUGCAAGGCUAGAAUCUGGCAGAGGGGGGUAGAAUUCCACGUGUAGCAGUGAAAUGCGUAGAGAUGUGGAGGAACACCGAUGGCGAAGGCAGCCCCCUGGGUCAAGAUUGACGCUCAUGCACGAAAGCGUGGGGAGCAAACAGGAUUAGAUACCCUGGUAGUCCACGCCCUAAACGAUGUCUACUAGUUGUCGGGUUUUAAUUAACUUGGUAACGCAGCUAACGCGUGAAGUAGACCGCCUGGGGAGUACGGUCGCAAGAUUAAAACUCAAAUGAAUUGACGG
This 585-nucleotide ribosomal RNA is filed under the name uncultured bacterium. Its description in RNAcentral is "bacterial SSU rRNA". It matches the Rfam family "Bacterial small subunit ribosomal RNA", at positions 338 to 916 of the family's 1533-position model. The record is from RNAcentral.